Molecule: ribosomal RNA, 433 nt
Filed under: uncultured bacterium
Lineage: Bacteria
Description: partial 16S ribosomal RNA
Rfam family: Bacterial small subunit ribosomal RNA
Source: RNAcentral
AACGAACGCUGGCGGCAUGCCUAACACAUGCAAGUCGAACGAGACCUUCGGGUCUAGUGGCGCACGGGUGCGUAACGCGUGGGAACCUGCCCUUAGGUUCGGAAUAACUCCCCGUAAGGGGUGCUAAUACCGGAUAAUCUCUUCGGACCAAAGAUUUCUCGCCUUUGGGUGGGCCCGCGUUGGAUUAGCUGGUUGGGAGGGUAAAAGCCUACCAAGGCGUCGAUCCAUAGCUGGUCUGAGAGGAUGCUCAGCUACGCUGGGACUGCGACCCGGCCCAGACUCCUACGGGAGGCAGCAGUGGGGAAUAUUGGACAAGGGGCGAAAGCCUGAUCCAGCAAUGCCGCGUGAGUGAUGAAGGCCUUAGGGUUGUAAAGCUCUUUUACCCGGGAUGAUAAUGACAGUACCGGGAGAAUAAGCUCCGGCUAACUCCGUG